This 57-nucleotide transfer RNA is filed under the name Loxodonta africana (African savanna elephant). It matches the Rfam family "tRNA", at positions 8 to 63 of the family's 71-position model. From Rfam's summary of the family: Transfer RNA (tRNA) molecules are approximately 80 nucleotides in length. Their secondary structure includes four short double-helical elements and three loops (D, anti-codon, and T loops). Lineage: Eukaryota; Metazoa; Chordata; Mammalia; Proboscidea; Elephantidae. The record is from Rfam by way of RNAcentral.
UGGCUUAGUGGUUAAGCACUUGGCUGCUAACCGGAAGGUCAGUGGUUCAAAUCCACC